CAAGGGAUAGUUUAAAAAAAAUAUUAAUUUUGGGGAUUAGUGUUAGAAAAUUUCUUCCCUUGA
Molecule: transfer RNA, 63 nt
Filed under: Idolomantis diabolica
Lineage: Eukaryota; Metazoa; Arthropoda; Insecta; Mantodea; Empusidae
Description: tRNA-Pro
Source: RNAcentral